GAUGAACGCUAGCGGCAGGCUUAAUACAUGCAAGUCGAGGGGCAACAGGGGUAGCAAUACCUGCUGGCGACCGGCAAACGGGUGCGGAACACGUACAGAACCUUCCUUUAAGUUGGAGAUAGCCCGGAGAAAUCCGGAUUAAUACCUAAUAGUAUUAUGGUGUGGCAUCACAUUAUAAUUAAAGCCUUGGCGCUUAGAGAUGGCUGUGCGUAUGAUUAGGUAGUUGGNGCGGUAACGGCCCACCAAGCCUUCGAUCAUUAACUGGUGUGAGAGC
Molecule: ribosomal RNA, 274 nt
Filed under: uncultured bacterium
Lineage: Bacteria
Description: partial 16S ribosomal RNA
Rfam family: Bacterial small subunit ribosomal RNA
Source: RNAcentral